Molecule: transfer RNA, 72 nt
Filed under: Camelus bactrianus (Bactrian camel)
Lineage: Eukaryota; Metazoa; Chordata; Mammalia; Artiodactyla; Camelidae
Also listed under: 2 other names
Rfam family: tRNA
About the family: Transfer RNA (tRNA) molecules are approximately 80 nucleotides in length. Their secondary structure includes four short double-helical elements and three loops (D, anti-codon, and T loops).
Source: Rfam by way of RNAcentral
GAGGGUGUAGCUCAGUGGGAGAGCACAUGCUUAGCAUGCAUGAGGUCUUGGGUUCAAUCCCCAGUACCCCUA